GAGUUUGAUCCUGGCUCAGAACGAACGCUGGCGGCGUGCUUAACACAUGCAAGUCGAGUGCGCGUUUCCGUAGCAAUACGGAGAUGGCGCACGGCGCACGGGUGCGUAACACGUGGGUAAUCUGCCCUCCGAUGGGGAAUAACCCCGCGAAAGCGGGGCUAACUCCGCAUAACAUUCCGAGAACUCCGGUUUUUGGACUCAAAGGCGUAAGUCGUCGGAGGUGGAGCCCGCGCACGAUUAGCUAGUUGGUAGGGUAAUGGCCUACCAAGGCUUUGAUCGUUAGCUGGUCUGAGAGGAUGGCCAGCCACACUGGAACUGAGACACGGUCCAGACUCCUACGGGAGGCAGCAGUGGGGAAUCUUGCACAAUGGGCGAAAGCCUGAUGCAGCGACGCCGCGUGGGGGAUGAAGCUUCUCGGAGUGUAAACCCCUUUCGACCCGGACGAAUGCCCCGCAAGGGGAGUGACGGUACGGGUAUAAGAAGCCCCGGCUAACUACGUGCCAGCAGCCGCGGUAAGACGUGGGGGGCCAGCGUUGUUCGGAAUUACUGGGUGUAAAGGGUUCGUAGGCGGUGUGGCAAGUCGGGAGUGAAAUCUCUGGGCUCAACUCAGAGGCUGCUUCCGAAACUGCUGUGCUGGAGUGUGGGAGAGGCGCGUGGAAUUGCAGGUGUAGCGGUGAAAUGCGUAGAUAUCUGCAGGAACACCCGUGGCGAAAGCGGCGCGCUGGACCACUACUGACGCUG
RNAcentral lists this ribosomal RNA (741 nucleotides) under uncultured bacterium. Its description in RNAcentral is "bacterial SSU rRNA". It matches the Rfam family "Bacterial small subunit ribosomal RNA", at positions 9 to 748 of the family's 1533-position model. The record is from RNAcentral.